GAGAGGCGUGAUGAUGAUUUACCCAUUCUAUUCUGUAAGUAAUGGAUGAUGAAACAAACAUGCACUACCAUCUGAUCUCUC
This is a small nucleolar RNA of Rhododendron vialii, 81 nucleotides long. The record is from RefSeq and is a predicted model, not a curated record. Lineage: Eukaryota; Viridiplantae; Streptophyta; Magnoliopsida; Ericales; Ericaceae.